GAAAAGUCUAAAGCAUGUCUUUCUUGGC
This 28-nucleotide small RNA is filed under the name Arabidopsis thaliana (thale cress). RNAcentral describes it as "ATSL112340". Lineage: Eukaryota; Viridiplantae; Streptophyta; Magnoliopsida; Brassicales; Brassicaceae. The record is from RNAcentral.